This 493-nucleotide ribosomal RNA is filed under the name uncultured bacterium. Its description in RNAcentral is "partial 16S ribosomal RNA". It matches the Rfam family "Bacterial small subunit ribosomal RNA", at positions 28 to 523 of the family's 1533-position model. The record is from RNAcentral.
GGUAAACGCUGGCGAUGUGCCUAAGACAUGCAAGUCGAACGGUAACAGGUUAAGCUGACGAGUGGCGAACGGGUGAGUAAUAUAUCGGAACGUGCCCAGUCGUGGGGGAUAACUGCUCGAAAGAGCAGCUAAUACCGCAUACGACCUGAGGGUGAAAGCGGGGGAUCGCAAGACCUCGCGCGAUUGGAGCGGCCGAUAUCAGAUUAGGUAGUUGGUGGGGUAAAGGCCCACCAAGCCAACGAUCUGUAGCUGGUCUGAGAGGACGACCAGCCACACUGGGACUGAGACACGGCCCAGACGCCUACGGGAGGCAGCAGUGGGGAAUUUUGGACAAUGGGCGCAAGCCUGAUCCAGCCAUGCCGCGUGCGGGAAGAAGGCCUUCGGGUUGUAAACCGCUUUUGUCAGGGAAGAAAAGGGUGUUUCUAAUACAGACGCCUCAUGACGGUACCUGAAGAAUAAGCACCGGCUAACUACGUGCCAGCCGCCGCCGUAA